RNAcentral lists this long non-coding RNA (722 nucleotides) under Gossypium barbadense (sea-island cotton). Its description in RNAcentral is "long non-coding RNA (GBAR_LNC012766)". The record is from RNAcentral. Lineage: Eukaryota; Viridiplantae; Streptophyta; Magnoliopsida; Malvales; Malvaceae.
CUGUGUGUAAAAGAACCGAGAUCGUAGUGGUGCUAUGGGCUUUAUGGUUUUCGCGGAACAGCUUAGUGCAUGAGGGGGUUGUUCAAAGGGUGCGAAGUGAUUACCUUUAUUCGAGGAUACUAUUCUGAGAUCGCUGAAGUCGUUAGAGGCCUGGCCCAACCAUCCUAGCCCCAGAUUGUCCGCUGGCUCCGUCCUCCGCUGUCUUUUGUCAAGGUGAGCGUUGAUGCUAGUUUUUCAUUCUCCCUGUAAAAAGCCUAUUCGGGUGUUAUUAUCCGGGACGAGUAUGGUUAAAUAAUGGGCGCUUGUAGUCGACUUACCUCUUACGUUCCUACAAUGUUUAUAGCGGAGGCCCGAAUUGUUGUUCAUGGGCUACUUUCACUUCUGAAAUGGGAUUCCGGUCUGUCAUCAUAGAGAGCGAUGCUCGGGCAGUCAUCUGUAAGCUAAACGCUACCUCGGAGGACCUAUCGGAGAUCAGUGCCUUUAUCUGCGAAGCCACGGAGCAGGUGUGUCGGUUCACUUACCUUGCCAGAUCGGGAAAUUGGCUAUGCAUACAGUGGCUCAAGAGGGUAUAUCGCGGCGGGAGGAUGGAUUCUGGGUGGAGGAAGGCCCGGUGUUGGCUACCUUAGUUGCUGAUGAGGAAAAAAGAUUGAUCGAUCCUCCUUAAGCUUGAUUCUGAAAGGUCUAUUUGGGGGAAAUUCUGAGAUCUUUUGUCUCCCCUGUUU